Molecule: long non-coding RNA, 760 nt
Organism: Triticum aestivum (bread wheat)
Lineage: Eukaryota; Viridiplantae; Streptophyta; Magnoliopsida; Poales; Poaceae
Exons: 2
Source: RefSeq, a predicted model, not a curated record
CAUGUCAGACCUCAAUAGCGGUCCUUUGUGUGGAACUGGUUGCGGUCAUAGCGGACAGCUAAAAAAAUUUAGACCACGAAUCCUCUUAUCCCAUCCCCUUCUCCUGGCGACGGGUGGCGGGCACUUCCUUGGUGGCGAUGCGGCUAACGCCGGAGGCCGGACGGAGAGGCAAAUCCAGGCUCACCAUCACCCGAUGCCGCUGCUACCCUAGCCCCCUCUUCCCCUGCCGGUCUUUGAGGGAGCAGCCAGCACGACGGCCACCUCCUCGCUCCUGCUCAACGCCCUUCCAUGGUCGACGACAAGCCGGUGCGGGAUAACACGGCGAGCCAGCGGGCAGUACCUCACUGGGACGGCGGCGCUCAAGCUCAAUGCCCACGUCCCCUCUCUGGUCCCUGAUUGACGCCCUACUCGUCGAUGUCCCUAUCCAGAAGUGGUAAUUCAGUCAACUAUCUGCACUUGUAAAUUUGUAAUUAAGAAGACCAAGAAGUGGACAUGGAUCUGAAUGGAGAAGAGGAUAAGGAUGGCGAAUGACUUGUGCAUCUUCCAUGAUCAGAACUAGAUCUGUUUAUUCUUGUGCGAUGGUCAUGGUCUGACUUGUAUGAUUGGCUAGUAGUUUUUGUUUGCAUGGUUACACGGUUGAAUAUUGUACAGAUGGACGAGUUGUGUAACCCUGAUAGUUUUUGUUUGCAUGGUUGAAUAUUGUCGGGAUGGAAUAGUUAUUGUCCAUAUGAUUAUGCUUAUAUAAAUGAUGAUUGUACAA